RNAcentral lists this long non-coding RNA (623 nucleotides) under Salvia miltiorrhiza (redroot sage). Its description in RNAcentral is "long non-coding RNA (SMIL_LNC001829)". Lineage: Eukaryota; Viridiplantae; Streptophyta; Magnoliopsida; Lamiales; Lamiaceae. The record is from RNAcentral.
UUUUGCCUUUCAUGGCAUAUUUUCGCAAUCUAUGAUGUUAUGAUCAGAUGAAUGAUAGAAAAGUGACAUAUGUUUUCCCAGAGAACAUAGAUUGUUAUAAGUUGCAUGAUCACAAUUUUAAAAGAACAUAGACUACUAGAUUAGUAGUAUAUCUCUACAAUCUAGAUUCCUAAGGUGAUAAUGUAGAAGAAUGAAAGAGAACUUAGAGCGUUUCAGCUCCCUUAAGAAAAUGAUGGUUCUUUUGAACUACAAAGAGGAUUGAAAAGAUAUGUACGAGGUAAAGGAAAAGCACAGAAUGACGAUACGCGACGAAUUCAAGGUAAACGUUGCAUCAAAGGUUGAACCAUAGUCUCUACGUUCAAAUGUUCAAGUGCGACGGAAUAUCGAAUCGACUUUUGCUACACGAUAGAUUUUAAGAAUAGUGUGUUUUGCCUGUGUACGUAUGUCUGUGUGUAUAUAUCUUAAAAGAGGUUUGGGGUUUGAGAUCAAUAGGAUAGGGAACCUUAAGAUAAGUUUAGUUGUCAUGAUGAACUUAUGCUUUGUUAUGUAUAGUAUGUUCAUGGCUCUCCAAGUUCGGGACGAUGUUUCCCGUGUGACUGGGAGGUGAUGAUGUUGGACCUGGC